Molecule: small RNA, 1502 nt
Filed under: Ralstonia solanacearum
Lineage: Bacteria; Pseudomonadati; Pseudomonadota; Betaproteobacteria; Burkholderiales; Burkholderiaceae
Description: bacterial LSU rRNA
Rfam family: Bacterial large subunit ribosomal RNA (bases 480-1502)
Source: RNAcentral
GUCCACACUUAUCGGUUUGUUUGAUGUUACAGCCAAGGGUCUGUAGCUCAGGUGGUUAGAGCACCGUCUUGAUAAGGCGGGGGUCGUAGGUUCGAGUCCUACCAGACCCACCAAGUUACGGGCGGCGGAGAGCGAUCUUGCCGUGAACUGGGGGAUUAGCUCAGCUGGGAGAGCACCUGCUUUGCAAGCAGGGGGUCGUCGGUUCGAUCCCGUCAUCCUCCACCAACACCUUGUGGUAGCCAAACGCAAGCAUCGAGAGAUCGGUGUUUGCGUUUGGCAUUGCCAAGACGAGUAGUAACUCGGCUGUUCUUUAACAAUAUGGAAUGUAGUAAAGGUGUCGCGGCGCGUUGAUGAGGCGCGCAAUUUAAACGCGACACUGGGUUGUGAUUGUAUCAACCAGUAUUACGAGUGAUCGAAAGACCGCUUGGAAUACGGCACAACGCGAGAACUCAGCCUAUAGCGAGACAUACUCGUUAUAGGGUCAAGCGAAUAAGUGCAUGUGGUGGAUGCCUUGGCGAUCACAGGCGAUGAAGGACGUAGUAGCUUGCGAAAAGCUGCGGGGAGCUGGCAAACGAGCUUUGAUCCGCAGAUGUCCGAAUGGGGAAACCCGGCCCGUAUGGGUCAUCCCUUGCUGAAUACAUAGGCAAGGGAGGCGAACGCAGUGAACUGAAACAUCUAAGUAGCUGCAGGAAAAGAAAUCAACCGAGAUUCCCAGAGUAGUGGCGAGCGAAAUGGGAACAGCCUUGUACUCUUUAGCAGUAUUGUUAGCGGAACGGAAUGGAAAGUCCGGCCAUAGUGGGUGAUAGCCCCGUACGCGAAAACAGUAUUGUGGAACUAGGUGUACGACAAGUAGGGCGGGACACGUGAAAUCCUGUCUGAAGAUGGGGGGACCAUCCUCCAAGGCUAAAUACUCGUGAUCGACCGAUAGUGAACCAGUACCGUGAGGGAAAGGCGAAAAGAACCCCGGGAGGGGAGUGAAAUAGAUCCUGAAACCGCAUGCAUACAAACAGUCGGAGCCUGGAAACGGGUGACGGCGUACCUUUUGUAUAAUGGGUCAGCGACUUACAUUCAGUGGCAAGCUUAACCGAUUAGGGAAGGCGUAGCGAAAGCGAGUCCGAAUAGGGCGUUCAGUCGCUGGGUGUAGACCCGAAACCAAGUGAUCUAUCCAUGGCCAGGUUGAAGGUGCGGUAACACGUACUGGAGGACCGAACCCACUAACGUUGAAAAGUUAGGGGAUGAGCUGUGGAUAGGGGUGAAAGGCUAAACAAACUUGGAAAUAGCUGGUUCUCUCCGAAAACUAUUUAGGUAGUGCCUCGUGUCUCACCUUCGGGGGUAGAGCACUGUCAUGGUUGGGGGGUCUAUUGCUGAUUACCCCGCCAUAGCAAACUCCGAAUACCGAAGAGUGCAAUCACGGGAGACAGACAUCGGGUGCUAACGUCCGGUGUCAAGAGGGAAACAACCCAGACCGCCAGCUAAGGUCCCUAAGAUUGGCUAAGUGGAAA